GUCCACGCCGUAAACGAUGAGUGCUAGCUGCUGGGAAUGUUUACCGUCUCAGUGGCGAAGCUAACGCAUUAAGCACUCCGCCUGGGAAGUACGGCCGCAAGGCUAAAACUCAAAGGAAUUGACGGGGCCGCACAAGCGGUGGAGCAUGUGGUUUAAUUCGAAGCAACGCGCAGAACCUUACCCAGGCUUGACAUCUCGGGAAUCCCGCCGAAACGCGGGGUGGCCUUCUCACGAAGGAGCCCGAUGACAGGUGCUGCAUGGCUGUCGU
Molecule: ribosomal RNA, 268 nt
Filed under: uncultured bacterium
Lineage: Bacteria
Description: partial 16S ribosomal RNA
Rfam family: Bacterial small subunit ribosomal RNA
Source: RNAcentral